RNAcentral lists this transfer RNA (71 nucleotides) under Chasmodes bosquianus (striped blenny). RNAcentral's name for it is "tRNA-Gln". It matches the Rfam family "tRNA". Rfam says of the family: Transfer RNA (tRNA) molecules are approximately 80 nucleotides in length. Lineage: Eukaryota; Metazoa; Chordata; Actinopteri; Blenniiformes; Blenniidae. The record is from RNAcentral.
UAGGAGGUGGUGUAAAGGAAGCACUAAGAGUUUUGAUCUCUUCAGAUUGGGUUCGACUCCCUUCUUCCUAA